CUACUUGAUCCACUUUACAUUUCUUAGUUGAUAAUAUCAGACUACAUUCUGAGAGUAGAACUUUCUUGUAGCAGUGCUUCUUAAUGUUACGUAGCUCCACAACAACGUCUUGUUUUGCACAAGCAACGUUAUCUGCAAGAAAUUCCUUCAAAGUCGUCUUCCUCUCUUUCUCCAGAGUCUCUUGCCUCUAAGUCGGUGCCGUUACGUUUAUGCUCCCGGAGGACUGGUCAUCUACUAAACGGAAUGAGGUGGUGUCCUCUAAUAACUACUUGUCGACUUAUUGAAACGAUGGCGGCGAUCUGAUAUGAUAAUUGAGAUUACGUUUUGUCAACAACACCAUCUGCUGAAAUAUCACGGUUCUUUUUCUUAAAGCGAAUGCUAUAGCUGACUACUUGGAUCUUUACAUUUCUUAGUUGAUAAUAUCAGACUAUAUUCUGAGAGUAGAAGUUGCUUGUAGCGGUGCAUCUUAACGUUACUUUGUUUGCUCCACAACAACGCCUUGAUUUGAACAAACAAAUUUAUCUACAAGAAUUCCUUCAAAGUUGUCUUCCUUUCUGUCUCCAGAGUCUCUUGCCUCUAAGUCGGUGCCGUUACGUUUAUGCUCCCGGAAGACUGGUCAUCUACUAAAAGGAGGAAGUUGAUGUCCUCUAAUAACUACUUGUCGACUUAUUGAAACGAUGGCGGCGAUGGCUGAUAUGAUAAUUGAGAUUACGUUUCGUCCAACACACCCACUGCUGAAAUAUCACGGUUACUUUUCUUAAAGCGAUCACUCUAGAGGCCUACUUGAUCAAGUUUGCAUUUCUUAGUUGAUAAUAUCAGACUACAUUCUGAGAGUAAAACUUUCUUGUAGCGGUGCAUCUUAACUUUACUUUGUUUGCUCCACAACAAUGCCUUGAUUUCAACAAACAAAUUUAUCUGCAAGAAAUUCCUUCAAAGUCGUCUUCCUUUCUUUCUCCAGAGUCUCUUGCCUCUAAGUCGGUGCCGUUAAGUUUACGCUUCCGGAAGACUGGUCAUCUACUGAAAGGAAUGAGGUGAUGUCCUCUAAUAACUACUUGUCGACUUAUGGAAAGGAUGUGGGCGAUGUCUGAUAUGAUAAUUGAGAUUGCGUUUCGUCAACAACACCAUCUGCCGAAAUAUCACGGUUCCUUUUCUUAAAGCGAAUACUAUAGCUGACUACUUGAAUCUUUACAUUUCUUAGUUUAUAAUAUCAGACUAUAUUCUGAGAGUAGAACUUUCUUGUAGCAGUGCUUCUUAAUGUUACACAAGCAACGGUAUCUGCAAGAUAUUCCUUGAAGGUCGUCUUCCAUUCUUUCUCCAGAGUCUCUUGCCUCUAAUUCGGUGCCGUUAAGUUUACGCUUCCGGAAGACUGGUCAUCUACUGAAAGGAAUGAGUUGAUGUCCUCUAAUAACUACUUGUCGACUUAAGGAAAGGAUGUGGGCGAUGUCUGAUACGAUAAUUGAGAUUACGUUUCGUCAACAACACCAUCUGCUGAAAUAUCACAGUUCCUUUUCUUAAAGCGAAUGCUAUAGCUGAC
Molecule: long non-coding RNA, 1534 nt
Organism: Dermacentor silvarum
Lineage: Eukaryota; Metazoa; Arthropoda; Arachnida; Ixodida; Ixodidae
Exons: 3
Source: RefSeq, a predicted model, not a curated record